GAUGAUCUCCAGCUUGCUGGGGGGAUUAGUGGCGAACGGGUGAGUAACACGUGAGUAACCUGCCCUUGACUCUGGGAUAAGCCUGGGAAACCGGGUCUAAUACUGGAUACGACCUUCCCGCGCAUGCGGUGUUGGUGGAAAGCUUUUGCGGUUUUGGAUGGACUCGCGGCCUAUCAGCUUGUUGGUGGGGUAAUGGCCUACCAAGGCGACGACGGGUAGCCGGCCUGAGAGGGUGACCGGCCACACUGGGACUGAGACACGGCCCAGACUCCUACGGGAGGCAGCAGUGGGGAAUAUUGCACAAUGGGCGCAAGCCUGAUGCAGCGACGCCGCGUGAGGGAUGAAGGCCUUCGGGUUGUAAACCUCUUUCAGUAGGGAAGAAGCUGCUCUUUUGGGGUGGUGACGGUACUUGCAGAAGAAGCGCCGGCUAACUACGUGCCAGCAGCCGCGGUAAUACGUAGGGCGCAAGCGUUAUCCGGAAUUAUUGGGCGUAAAGAGCUCGU
This 503-nucleotide ribosomal RNA is filed under the name bacterium 73-L049641-122-013-A10. Its description in RNAcentral is "bacterial SSU rRNA". It matches the Rfam family "Bacterial small subunit ribosomal RNA", at positions 68 to 572 of the family's 1533-position model. The record is from RNAcentral.